This is a long non-coding RNA of Bactrocera neohumeralis, 1355 nucleotides long. RefSeq lists it as uncharacterized. The transcript has 2 exons. The record is from RefSeq and is a predicted model, not a curated record. NCBI's taxonomy places the organism in Eukaryota, Metazoa, Arthropoda, Insecta, Diptera, Tephritidae.
AAGCAUGUUGCGUCCUUUACGAUUUUUUAUACUCUCGCAACAAAGUUGCUAAGGAGAGUAUUAUAGUUUUGUUCACAAACGAUUGUUUGUAAGUCCUAAAAUUAAAAGAGUCAGAUAUAGGAUUAUAUAUAGGGUUAUAUAUACGAAAGUGAUCAGGGUGACGAAUAGAGUUGAAAUCCGGAUGUCUGUCUGUCCGUCCGUCCGUCCGUGCAAGCUGUAACUUGAAUAAAAAUUGAGUUAUCAUGAUGAAACUUUGUACAUGUAUUUCUUGGCUCCAUAAGAAGGUUAAGUUCGAAGAUGGGCAAAUUGGCGAACUGCCAAUUAAAGUGAAAUUUGGCACAAAGGGUUGCACUAGGGAGGGGCAUAUUUGGACGUAAUUUUUUUGGAAAAGUGGGCGUGGCCCCGCCCCCUACUAAGUUUUUUGUACAUAUCUCGGAAACUACUAUAGCUAUGCCAACCAAACUCUAUAGAGUCGUUUUCUUCAGGUAUUUCCAUAUACAGUUCAAAAAUGGAAGAAAUAGGAUAAUAACCACGCCCACCUCCCAUACAUAGGUUAUGUUGAAAAUCACUAAAAGUGCGUUAACCGACUAACAAAAAAUGUCAGAAGCACUAAAUUGUACGGAAAAAAUGGCGGAAGGAAACUGCGCCUAUGCUUUUUUUUAAUUGAAAAUGGACGUGGCGUCGCCCACUUAUGGACCAAAAACCAUAUCUCAGGAAUUACUUCACCGAUUUCAAUGAAAUUCGUUAUAUAAUAUUUUCUUAACACCCUGAUGACAUGUACGAAAUAACGCUGAUGCCUUCUCUGUAUAAUAUAUACAUUAGGAACCAAUGAUGAUAGCGGAAUAAAACUUUACACAAAUACGGUAUUUGAGAAAUAUGUAAAUGACUGAUAAUGAAAUCUCGAUUAUCACUUUAUCAUGCGAGAGUAUAAAAUGUUCGGUGACACCCGAACUUAGCCCUUCCUUACUUGUUAAAUGAUAACAACGACACGCUAAACGCUAAAUGGGUACACGCUUUGGAAGAGUUGGAGACUAGACGCCAGAAUCCGUGUGAUAUUUCGUAUGCAUCUGACGACCCAAUUAAUGGAGAAAUGAUUCGGACAGCACUUUGUACAUAUUUUGAAUCACUCGGCUCGGGAGACGGUACUGGUAGCGAAGAAGUAUCGGUUGGCGACAUCGACAUCGCUGAGGGCGAUGGUAGGCAAACCGGUGAUGACUAUGGAGAUGCAGCAACAAAUGUAGAAGACGCAGCCGUUUACACCGAAAUUUGGAGUGGUUCGGAGUUAGUAGAACCUUUUUAAAAAUGUAAUUAUAUAUGUAUGUAAAUAUAUAUAAUAUAUUGAAUUACAAAACAAA